This 423-nucleotide ribosomal RNA is filed under the name uncultured bacterium. RNAcentral describes it as "bacterial SSU rRNA". It matches the Rfam family "Bacterial small subunit ribosomal RNA", at positions 29 to 439 of the family's 1533-position model. The record is from RNAcentral.
AACGAACGCUGGCGGCGUGCCUAACACAUGCAAGUCGAGCGUGAAUGGAGCAAUCCUAGUAGCGCGGCGCACGGGUGCGUAACACGUGGGUAAUCUGCCUGGGAGACCGGAAUAACCUGCCGAAAGGCUGGCUAAUACCGGAUAAGCCCACGGACUCUUCGGAGUCUGAGGGAAAAGGUGGCCUCUGUAUACAAGCUAUCACUUCCAGAUGAGCCCGCGGCCCAUCAGCUCGUUGGCGGGGUAAAGGCCCACCAAGGCAACGACGGGUAGCUGGUCUGAGAGGACGAUCAGCCACACUGGAACUGAGACACGGUCCAGACUCCUACGGGAGGCAGCAGUGGGGAAUUUUGCACAAUGGGCGAAAGCCUGAUGCAGCAACGCCGCGUGUGUGAUGAAGGUCUUCGGAUCGUAAAGCACUUUCGA